Molecule: ribosomal RNA, 1245 nt
Filed under: metagenome
Description: bacterial LSU rRNA
Rfam family: Bacterial large subunit ribosomal RNA
Source: RNAcentral
UGAAUACGAGACGCUAAGGCGUCGAAGUAGUGUAUGUCAUACUUCCAAGAAAAGCUUGCACUGUCAUAGAUAAAAAACGCCUGUACCAUAACCGACACAGGUGGGUAGGUAGAGUAUACUAAGGGGCGCGAGAUAACUCUCUCUAAGGAACUCGGCAAAAUAACUCCGUAACUUCGGGAGAAGGAGUGCCUUAUUAUUAAGGCUGCAAUAACAAGAUCCAAGCAACUGUUUAUCAAAAACACAGGUCUCCGCUAAGUCGUAAGACGAUGUAUGGGGGCUGACGCCUGCCCAGUGCCGGAAGGUUAAAGAAGUUGGUUAGCAUUUGCGAAGCUGAUAACUGAAGCCCUGGUGAACGGCGGCCGUAACUAUAACGGUCCUAAGGUAGCGAAAUUCCUUGUCGGGUAAGUUCCGACCCGCACGAAAGGCGUAAUGAUUUGGAUACUGUCUCGGAGAGGGGCUCGGUGAAAUAGACUUGUCUGUGAAGAUGCGGACUACCUGCACCAGGACAGAAAGACCCUAUGAAGCUUUACUGUAACUUGAAAUUGAAAUUGGACUUUAUUCGCGCAGCAUAGGUGGGAGGCGUUGAUUAUAAUCUUGUGGGAUUAUUGGAGCCAUCAGUGAGAUACCACUCUUGUAAUGUUAGAUUUCUAACUUUGAAUCAUUAUCUGGUCAAAGAACAGUUUCAGGCGGGCAGUUUGACUGGGGCGGUCGCCUCCUAAACGGUAACGGAGGCGUACAAAGGUUUCCUCUGAACGGUUAGAAAUCGUAUCUAGAGUGUAAAGGCAUAAGGAAGCUUGACUGUGAGACCUACAAGUCGAGCAGGGACGAAAGUCGGUCUUAGUGAUCUGACUGUACUGAGUGGAAAGGCCGUCACUCAACGGAUAAAAGUUACUCUAGGAUAACAGGCUGAUCUCCCCCAAGAGUUCACAUCGACGGGGAGGUUUGGCACCUCGAUGUCGGCUCAUCGCAUCCUGGGGCGGUAGUACGUCCCAAGGGUUGGGCUGUUCGCCCAUGAAAGCGGUACGCGAGCUGGGUUCAGAACGUCGUGAGACAGUUCGGUCCAUAUCCGGUGUAGGCGUUAGAAUAUUGAGAGGAGCCUUCUUUAGUACGAGAGGACCGAGAAGGACAUACCUCUGGUGUACCAGUUAUCGUGCCAACGGUAAACGCUGGGUAGCUAUGUAUGGAGUGGAUAACCGCUGAAAGCAUCUAAGUGGGAAGCCCACCUCAAGAUAAGUAUUCUCAUCA